GGAGAGAUGGCCGAGCCAGGCCUAAGGCGCUCGCCUGCUAAGCGAGUGUCCCGGGAAACUGGGAUCGAGGGUUCAAAUCCCUCUCUCUCCGCCA
Molecule: transfer RNA, 94 nt
Filed under: Deltaproteobacteria bacterium RBG_16_54_18
Lineage: Bacteria; Deltaproteobacteria
Also listed under: 1 other name
Description: tRNA-Ser
Rfam family: tRNA
About the family: Transfer RNA (tRNA) molecules are approximately 80 nucleotides in length. Their secondary structure includes four short double-helical elements and three loops (D, anti-codon, and T loops).
Source: RNAcentral